Molecule: ribosomal RNA, 432 nt
Filed under: uncultured bacterium
Lineage: Bacteria
Description: partial 16S ribosomal RNA
Rfam family: Bacterial small subunit ribosomal RNA
Source: RNAcentral
AACGAACGCUGGCGGCAUGCCUAACACAUGCAAGUCGAACGAGACCUUCGGGUCUAGUGGCGCACGGGUGCGUAACGCGUAGGAACCUGCCCUUAGGUUCGGAAUAACUCCCCGAAAGGGGUGCUAAUACCGGAUAAUGUCUUCGGACCAAAGAUUUAUCGCCUUUGGAUGGGCCCGCGCUGGAUUAGCUAGUUGGUAGGGUAAAAGCCUACCAAGGCGACGAUCCAUAGCUGGUCUGAGAGGAUGAUCAGCCACACUGGGACUGAGACACGGCCCAGACUCCUACGGGAGGCAGCAGUGGGGAAUAUUGGACAAUGGGCGAAAGCCUGAGCCAGCAAUGCCGCGUGAGUGAUGAAGGCCUUAGGGUUGUAAAGCUCUUUUACCCGGGAUGAUAAUGACAGUACCGGGAGAAUAAGCUCCGGCUAACUCCGU